CUGAACCAGCCAAGUAGCGUGAAGGAUGACGGCCCUACGGGUUGUAAACUUCUUUUGUGCGGGAAUAAAGGAACCUACGUGUAGGUUUUUGCAUGUACCGUAACGAAUAAGCAUCGGCUAACUCCGUGCCAGCAGCCGCGGUAAUACGGAGGAUGCGAGCGUUAUCCGGAUUUAUUGGGUUUAAAGGGAGCGUAGACGGGUUUUUAAGUCAGUUGUGAAAGUUUGCGG
This 228-nucleotide ribosomal RNA is filed under the name uncultured bacterium. Its description in RNAcentral is "partial 16S ribosomal RNA". It matches the Rfam family "Bacterial small subunit ribosomal RNA", at positions 383 to 607 of the family's 1533-position model. The record is from RNAcentral.